AACGAACGCUGGCGGCAGGCCUAACACAUGCAAGUCGAACGCCCUAGCAAUAGGGAGUGGCAGACGGGUGAGUAACACGUGGGAACCUUCCCUAUAGUACGGAAUAGCCCAGGGAAACUUGGAGUAAUACCGUAUAAGCCCGAGAGGGGAAAGAUUUAUCGCUAUAGGAUGGGCCCGCGUCGGAUUAGCUAGUUGGUGAGGUAAUGGCUCACCAAGGCGACGAUCCGUAGCUGGUUUGAGAGAACGACCAGCCACACUGGGACUGAGACACGGCCCAGACUCCUACGGGAGGCAGCAGUGGGGAAUAUUGGACAAUGGGCGAAAGCCUGAUCCAGCCAUGCCGCGUGAGUGAUGAAGGCCUUAGGGUUGUAAAGCUCUUUUGUCGGGGACGAUAAUGACGGUACCCGAAGAAUAAGCUCCGGCUAACUUCGUG
Molecule: ribosomal RNA, 433 nt
Filed under: uncultured bacterium
Lineage: Bacteria
Description: bacterial SSU rRNA
Rfam family: Bacterial small subunit ribosomal RNA
Source: RNAcentral